AUUUGAAUAUCAUCAUUAGACAUUCCUCUUUCACAAUUUUCUAUCGACCAAAAAUUAAUUAAUUCAGUUCAAUUAAUCCCCUUGCAUUAUUUAAUUUAUAAACUUUGAUAAGAUCUGAACAAUUUUCUAGAGAGAACUACAUUAUUUGUGAGAACGGGAGAACCAUCAAAUCUAAUGCAUUCACUGUAAAAAAUUAAUGCAUUUGCUGUUAAAAUUAAUGCACUAAAAAAAAUAAAAAAAAUUGCUCCCUUCAGGAUUCGAACCCAGGAUCUGCAUUCAUCCAACAAGAUGAU
Molecule: long non-coding RNA, 293 nt
Filed under: Salvia miltiorrhiza (redroot sage)
Lineage: Eukaryota; Viridiplantae; Streptophyta; Magnoliopsida; Lamiales; Lamiaceae
Description: long non-coding RNA (SMIL_LNC001612)
Source: RNAcentral